UCAUUUGGGCCUAACUCGGGCAGGCAGCUGUCGUAAAGCUCACACGUGGCAGUGGGGCCCAGGCAGCUUUUGGUGGAAAGAUUUAUCGUAACAAUUUACAAUUUACAUACUUUAAGAAUAUUCUAUUUUUUUUAAUGAAAACACAAAGGUUAAAGUUUUGAAGUUUUAUCCAUGGCCAAAUCUUUAAUGGGUUUGGUGAUUAUUAUGUUUGAUAUAAUCUGUAACUAUAUUUGUUCACAUUCUUGUUGUGGAAUAUUAUUUUAACUAGGCAAAGAUUUGUUACAUUUAUUUAUGUUGUAGAAUAUUACUUUGGCUGUGUAAUGGUGUGUUACAUUUGUUCAUGCAGUCUUUGUUAAUGAUGUGAAGAUAUGUUGUAUUUGUUUAUGCUGCAUAUGUUUAAAUAUGGAAAGAUGUGUUGCUGUUUACCUUGCCUGACAAAGGCACCUAACUGGUAUAAUAAAAAGUUGAAAAGAGGGGAAGGCAAGGAUGGCAGGCAGAGAGAAUAAGUAAGAGAAAUGUAGACUUGAGAGAGAGAAGGAGGAGCGAGUGAGGGAGAAAGAAAGUGACAUACCCAGAGCCAGAAACCAGGCAGCCACCAGCUGGACAUGGAGGCAGCAGGAAAGUAAGAUAUACAGAAAGAAAGGUAAGAAGCCCUGAGGCAAAUCAUAUGUAAAGAGAAAUAGAUUAAAACAAGAGCUAAAUUAAAGCACAAUUUCUCUUGACUUUUCAUAGCUGUUCAAUAAAGACAACCGACUCUUCUAUGCUUUAACUUAGGAGUUACUCAUGGGUACAUACCAUGCUGUGGUAGAUUUUACAAUAGCUUUAUCUCUUCAGAAGUGCUCACUCAACAGACCUUGACAAACUCACUUGAAGGACCUGAUGACAGAGAUGGAGGCCAGUACCGUGAUCGACAGAGUCACGGUGAGUUUGGCAGGAAAACACAGGCAUUGUUUCUCCAUAUCCCACUCUUUCAAAAGAAAGAGGGAGAGACUAGUGAAAUGACUUCAUGAUUCAUCCUGCACUUGAAGGAAAAGGAAGGAUUACCAGCUGGAUCUGCCAUCAUUAGAAUACAGAAGACAUUACUAUACUUAAACAGACUCACCCAUUCUGGUGCACACAGUAACUCUUUAACUCAAUAACUGGUCUUCAAAUGCCAGAUCCAGGAGUCUACAGUUCUUCCAAGUUGGUCUAACCUGUUCUGCUAGUCAGCUUUCUGUGUGACAAAUGGCCUCAGAAAACUCUGUUAAGAUGAGCAAGGAUUUAUCUUUACUUCUGAGGUUUCAGAGCACGAUCAUUUGACUGCAUCAUUUUGGGCUUGUGGGGCCGAAGAACAUGAUUGGGGCACUUAGUGGAGCAAAGCUGAUCAUCUCAAGACAGCAAGAAAUAAAAAUACAUAGAGGAAGGAGUCAAGGACAAAGUAUACCUGACAAAGGCAUAGUUCCAUUGCUCUUCCAACUAGCCCUUAUGAACUAUCCACCACCUACCAAUAGCCCACUAAGCUGUUAACUCAUCAGCAGAUUGAUUCAUUGGUGAAGUUAGACACCAUGGGACCAACUGAUCUUGCAAAAGUGCCCGCCCCUAUGGUUACUGCUGACUUUGGGAUGAAGCCUGUAGCAUGCUGCCACAUGGUUCGUGACUUGUCACCUCAUCUCCUAUAUGUCAUGCUUCUCUCCUGUCUCCUUGAGACUCCACCCUUCUUCUUUACAGCAUCCUGUGUGCCUGGAAAACCUGCCUAGCUAUUGGCCACUCAGCAUUUUAUUAAACCAAACAGAGUGACACAUCUUCACAAUGAACAAAAAGACUAUUCCAUUAAAAUUAUAUUAUGUUACUCAGGAACUCUGUUACCAGAAGGGGGAAUAAAAGAAGACUCAGGUUUCUAAA
Molecule: non-coding RNA, 1881 nt
Organism: Cricetulus griseus (Chinese hamster)
Lineage: Eukaryota; Metazoa; Chordata; Mammalia; Rodentia; Cricetidae
Source: RefSeq, a predicted model, not a curated record